GGAUUCGAUUAGCCUGCGAGUCGAGAGGGUUCGGCCCUCGGCAGACUGCUCAGUAACACGUGGAUAACCUAAUCUUAGGUGGAGGAUAAUCUCGGGAAACUGAGAAUAAUACUCCAUAGAUCUAGGCUGCUGGAAUGCAUCUAGAUUUAAAGCUCCGGCGCCUAAGAAUGGGUCUGCGGACUAUCAGGUUGUAGUCAGGGUAAAGACCUGACUAGCCUACGACGGAUAUGGGUUGUGAGAGCAAUAGCCCAGAGACGAUAUCUGAGACACGAUAUCGGGCCCUACGGGGCGCAGCAGGCGCGAAAUCUUCACAAUGUGCGAAAGCACGAUGAGGGAAUCCCAAGUGCUAGCACGUAAGUGUUAGCUGUUUCUUAGUCUAAAAAACUGAGAGAGUAAGGGCUGGGUAAGACGGGUGCCAGCCGCCGCGGUAAUACCUGCAGCUCAAGUGGUGGCCGCUAUUAUUGGGCCUAAAACGUCCGUAGCCUGUUUAGUAAAUGCUUGGGUAAAUUGUGUAGCUUAACUAUACGAAUACCGGGUAGACUGCUAAACUUGGGACCGGGAGAGGCUAGAAGGUACUCCUGGGGGUAGAGGUGAAAUUCUGUAAUCCUAGGGGGACCACCAGUGGCCNAAGCGUCUAGCUAGAACGGUCUUGACGGUGAAGGGACGAAGCCCUGGGGCGCGAACCGGAUUAGAUNCCCGGGUAGUCCAGGGUG
This 713-nucleotide ribosomal RNA is filed under the name uncultured archaeon. RNAcentral's name for it is "bacterial SSU rRNA". It matches the Rfam family "Archaeal small subunit ribosomal RNA", at positions 36 to 753 of the family's 1478-position model. The record is from RNAcentral.